Molecule: ribosomal RNA, 251 nt
Filed under: uncultured bacterium
Lineage: Bacteria
Description: partial 16S ribosomal RNA
Rfam family: Bacterial small subunit ribosomal RNA
Source: RNAcentral
UACGUAGGGGGCAAGCGUUGUCCGGAUUUACUGGGCGUAAAGAGCUCGUAGGUGGUUUGGCAAGUCGGGUGUGAAAACUCGGGGCUCAACCCCGAGCCUGCAGUCGAUACGGGCAAACUAGAGUGUGGUAGGCGAGUGGAAUUCCUGGUGUAGCGGUGAAAUGCGCAGAUAUCGGGAGGAACACCGGUGGCGAAGGCGGUUCUCUGGGCCUGUUCUGACGCUGAGGAGCGAAAGCGUGGGGAGCGAACAGG